AGAAUCAACGCUGGCGGCGUGCCUAACACAUGCAAGUCGAACGAGAAAGUGGAGCAAUCCAUGAGUAAAGUGGCGACCGGGUGAGUAACACGUGACUAACCUACCUUCGAGUGGGGGAUAACCUCGGGAAACCGAGGCUAAUACCGCAUAACAUCGCAAGAUCAAAGCAGCAAUGCGCUGGAAGAGGGGGUCGCGGCUGAUUAGCUAGUUGGCGGGUAACGGCCACAGGCGAAGAUCGGUA
This 241-nucleotide ribosomal RNA is filed under the name uncultured bacterium. Its description in RNAcentral is "partial small subunit ribosomal RNA". It matches the Rfam family "Bacterial small subunit ribosomal RNA", at positions 26 to 285 of the family's 1533-position model. The record is from RNAcentral.